UACGGGGGGUGCGAGCGUUGUCCGGAAUCACUGGGCGUAAAGGGCGCGUAGGCGGCCACCGCAAGUCGGUUGUGAAAUCUCCGGGCUUAACCCGGAAAGGUCAACCGAUACUGCGGGGCUAGAGUGCAGAAGGGGCAACUGGAAUUCUCGGUGUAGCGGUGAAAUGCGUAGAUAUCGAGAGGAACACCUGCGGCGAAGGCGGGUUGCUGGGCUGACACUGACGCUGAGGCGCGAAAGCUAGGGGAGCGAACGGG
RNAcentral lists this ribosomal RNA (254 nucleotides) under uncultured bacterium. RNAcentral's name for it is "partial 16S ribosomal RNA". It matches the Rfam family "Bacterial small subunit ribosomal RNA", at positions 524 to 776 of the family's 1533-position model. The record is from RNAcentral.